Molecule: ribosomal RNA, 676 nt
Filed under: embryophyte environmental sample
Lineage: Eukaryota; Viridiplantae; Streptophyta
Description: eukaryotic LSU rRNA
Rfam family: 5.8S ribosomal RNA (bases 274-429)
Source: RNAcentral
AGGAGAAGUCGUAACAAGGUUUCCGUAGGUGAACCUGCGGAAGGAUCAUUGUCGUGACCCUGACCAAAACAGACCGCGCACGCGUAAUCCAGCCUGCUGAGCGGCGGCACUGUCCGUCACUCGGCCAAGUCCUCGAUAACCUUCGCUCCUAGGAGCGGGGGCUCGGGGUAAAAGAACCCACGGCGCCGAAGGCGUCAAGGAACACUGUGCCUAGCUGGGGGACGUGGCUGGCUUGCUAGCCGCCCCCUAGCUGCAAAGCUAUUUAAUCCACACGACUCUCGGCAACGGAUAUCUCGGCUCUCGCAUCGAUGAAGAACGUAGCGAAAUGCGAUACCUGGUGUGAAUUGCAGAAUCCCGCGAACCAUCGAGUCUUUGAACGCAAGUUGCGCCCGAGACCAUUCGGUCGAGGGCACGCCUGCCUGGGCGUCACGCUAAACACGCUCCAACCCCCAUCAUUGGGAGUAGGAUGCGGCAUGUGGCCUCCCGUCACGCAAGGGGCGGUGGGCCGAAGAUAUGGCUGCCGGCGUAUCGUGUCGGACACAGCGCGUGGUGGGCGACCUCGCUUUACUUACCGCAGUGCCUCCGAGGCGUAGCUGACGUAAUGGCCUCUAAAGACCCUUUGAACGGUGCGCAUGACGCUCCGACCGCGACCCCAGGUCAGGCGGGACUACCCGCU